RNAcentral lists this ribosomal RNA (513 nucleotides) under uncultured bacterium. RNAcentral's name for it is "partial 16S ribosomal RNA". It matches the Rfam family "Bacterial small subunit ribosomal RNA", at positions 28 to 523 of the family's 1533-position model. The record is from RNAcentral.
GACGAACGCUGGCGGCAUGCCUAAUACAUGCAAGUCGAGCGAACAGAUGAAGUGCUUGCACUUCUGACGUUAGCGGCGAACGGGUGAGUAACACGUAAGGAAUCUACCUAUAAGCGGGGGAUAACAUUCGGAAACGGGUGCUAAUACCGCAUAAUAUCUUCUUCCGCAUGGAAGAAGAUUGAAAGACGGCUCUGCUGUCACUUAUAGAUGACCUUGCGGUGCAUUAGUUAGUUGGUGGGGUAAUGGCCUACCAAGACGAUGAUGCAUAGCCGACCUGAGAGGGUGAUCGGCCACAUUGGGACUGAGACACGGCCCAAACUCCUACGGGAGGCAGCAGUAGGGAAUCUUCCGCAAUGGGCGAAAGCCUGACGGAGCAAUGCCGCGUGAGUGAAGAAGGCCUCCGGGUCGUAAAGCUCUGUUAUAAGAGAAGAACAAAUUGUAGAGUAACUGCUACAGUCUUGACGGUAUCUUAUCAGAAAGCCACGGCUAACUACGUGCCAGCAGCCGCGGUAA